Molecule: long non-coding RNA, 3835 nt
Filed under: Sus scrofa (pig)
Lineage: Eukaryota; Metazoa; Chordata; Mammalia; Artiodactyla; Suidae
Description: lncRNA (ENSSSCG00000062208.1)
Source: RNAcentral
CACAUUUUGAAUGCCCAAUAGUCAAAUAUGGAUAUAGGCUACUGUAUUAGUACAGAUCUAGAAGACUGUGGUUGUCACGCCAAUCUGAUUGCCUCAGGUCUUCAUCUAUAUUUUCUUACUGUGCAUCAAUCCUGCAGUUGUUUGGCCUGAAAAAGAUCUCCUCUUAUAGUGCGUGAAAAUGGUUACCAGAUCAUUUCAUGUGCAAUGCUACUCAGUGUUCUCUAGAAAGCAGUAGCUCUUUUGUUUUUUGUUUAGUCAUUCUUGCCUACAUUAUGUGGGUUAAAUAAACAAUGCUUUACAGUGUAUAUUGGAUGUACUAUAAAAAAACUUAUUUCCAAGAUUGAAUCCAUUUAUAAUAUGGGAUAUACAUGCCUAACAUCAGAGAGUAAUAGCUGAAUAGUUAUCUGUGAGUAGAAGCAGUGUCAGGUGAGAAUGGAGGGACUAGGCAAAGAAAUAUGGCCCAGGGAGGCAUGAAACCAGAGCAACAGAGAGAACAUAUAAAAUGACAUACAAGAGAAAAAUGAGCAUCAAGAGAUUUUAUAUACACACACAUACACACACAUAUAUACACACAUAUACACAAUGCAUCAGUAUGCUUAAAAUCAUUGGUUCAAAGAAAAACUCUGGGUCUAGUGUUUUGGGACAUUUUAUUAAAUAAAUACAUUUCAUUGUAAACCUAGUGACUUAUAUAGAAAUUAGCUAUUAUGAUAAAGAGCAAAGUCAAACCAUGUAUUUUGACCUCUCAGAAGUUCUGUUUGAUGCAUUAUAAUGUUAGUUCCCAGUUAUGAAGAUUCACCCAUAAAAAAUAUUGCCUAUUUAUAAAUAGAAUAGCCUGACUGACCAAAAUUUUGAGAGGAAGAGGAAUCUAAAGGCUAAAUGUAGUCAUGCUAAAUUGUAAUUGAUGAGGAUCUUCUAACUGAAUAUCAAACUAACUACAUUGUCCAAGAAUAGUGAUACCAAAUUACAAGGGGUGUAGAGAUAAAAAGGCAAAAGACAAAGCUGAGAAAAAAAAGUACAUAAAAUCCUGAGUGGAAAGGAAGAAUAAGAAAUUCCAUCAAACAGCCAGAGAAACUUUCGCAGUAAAAUAUAAAAAAUAAAUCAAGGAAAAACUACAGGUAUUUCCGUUUGGAUGCUUUUGAUUAUAUGUAAUGGAAAAUUCAACUUAAAUUGUUUUAGACAAUGAAAAAAAUAUAUUGGCAAGACAUUGUUGGCAAAGUCUAAGACUUCAGGCAAUUCUAUCAGAUAUCUAGCUCAGUUAUUCUUUCAACCUUCUUCUCUUCCACGUGUUAAAAUUAUUUUCAGGCUCUCCUUCCUCAUAGUAGCAAAAUGGAUGCAGUGGUUAUAGGAUUUACAUCAGUACACUACAAUUUUAUACAAAAGGCCUGUGGUUGUUUCUGAACCAAUCUGAACCAGUGUGGUGGUCAGGAGACUACCAUAUAUUUGUUCCUUUAAAUCAGGAUUAUUGACUAUCCAUAGUUUAAUUGGUAAUGCAGAGUAGGUGAGGUUGUGCUAAUUGGAUUGUUCUUCUCAGGGCUAACCCUUCUAAGAAGGGUAAAUCUCACCCAAACUGCAUGACUGCCACACAAUGAGGGAAGGGCGAUAAUGGGUGCUGUGGAAAUAAACAAAUAUCCACUUUAGUGCAACAUAGGAAAUAAGAUCCCUGAAUGAUAUAUCUGAGAAUCUAGCCAAAGAAGUUUCAGUUAAUCACAAUCUGAUCUAACUAAAGAGGAAACCUAGCUUUUUUUGUUUUAUCAACACAAUUAGCAGAUGUCUAGGCCCUUUGCAAAUAAAUGGGCCAUAUUACAUUUGGGCAUAAUUAUUGUGAAGACUUUGGAAAAUUAUUCUAAAUUAAAUAAAUAUUUAAUCAUUAAAGAUAAUCCUUUAAAAUAUACUUAAUUAAACAGAAUGUGCUAAUAUCUACAACAUAAUUUUAAUAAACAUGUCACUAGAUGAAUGCCAUUUGUUUAUUGAGUCUUACCAGCGAAAACCAUCUGCUCUGUUGUAUUUCUUCCCAAAUAACUUGUUUUCUAUUAUGUAGACAUAUAUAAUGGAGAGUUAAUAAUUAUCUGAUCAAUUCGAGAUAUUCAGGAAGACAACUUGUGUAAUUUGAGAGCCUUAUCAAACUCCACAAUGUUCACCUGUAAUGGUUUUCAUUAAAAGCAAAGUCUGGAUACUGGCUCAAUCAAGUGAAUUAUUUUGUGGGAUUUUCUUUCGUUCAUCUGUGUGUGUGUGUGUGUGUGUGUGUGUGUGUAGUAUUGGUCUAAGACAGUGGUGUGUAAACAGAAUAUAAUGCAAGAAAUAUAUGUAAUUUUAUAUGUAUUAGUUAGGUUUAAAAAUACAAACAAUUAUUUUAUUAAUAUAUAAUAACCAAAUAUAUCCAAGACAUUAUUUCAACAUUGCUCAAAUAUUUAGAUAUUUUGUCUUUUCUCUCCCUAAGUUUCCAAAAUGAAUGUGUCUUCCACUUUUAGCACAUAACAAUUCAGAUCAGUUUCAGUUCAUAUGUUCAGUGGCCCCAUGUGAAUAUUGGUUAUCACAUUGGACAGCAUAGGGAUAGAUUUACUCAUAUUUGUUCUCUAUGCAGUCUAAAGGCUGUUGAUAUUAACUGAGUACAGUGUAUCUUGUACUCUAUAUGAUUUUCCUCAGUAUACUAUAAAUUUUUGCUGCUACUUAAAGAUACUCUUCUCUUAUUUUUGUCCUUGAUACAUACUUUUAUAUAGUUUAUUACUUUUGUGUGCUAAGUCUUUGAUGAUCCUUUUUGUAAAAUCCUAAUUUUGCCACCUUGUUCUUAUUAUCCUCUUAUUUAUUUAAAAUCUAUUGGGAUGAAUGCCAAUGGCUGCCUUAAUUCUACUUUCUUUAAUAUCUUCUCCCUUUCUAGAUUAAUUUCGUCUGUAUCAUUUUCACCUGGAUUCUUUAAAUCUUUUGCAUUAGCUCAAAACCAGUUUUCCUGAGGAAUUUAUGGUGUUCUCUCCUUUAGUGCAUACACAUUCACUUAAGCACUUAAAAUCUAAUGGUUUUUCAAAAAUUCCACAUCCCCAGCUUCAUAUAUUUGAACUUUAUUCAGAUUAUCUAAGAAACAUUUUUGUGCAUUGAUAGUACAAUAACCAAAGUACCUAAUAUAAUUUCAUCUUCUUACAAGUUCAAGGUGCAAGUAUUUCAAAAAGUCUCUUUAUUGGGAUAAAAUUGGUUUAUGAUUAAUAUCACUAAGCUAUUAGGACAUUUCAAAAACUGUACUGACAUUAAAAUGAGGUUAUGAAACACAUUUCAUAGGGUUGUAUUUAGAACACAACAGAUGGAAAAAGACAUAGUGUAUGCUGUGACCUAAUAACUUCCCAACAUCUAUUUGCCUCCUUCUCUUUUUGUCCCAUCCUGCUGUUAUUAUUUAAGUGGCCUACACUCGAUAGCAGAAUGUAGUAGUUAAAAUUGUGACCUCAAGUCAGACAGUCUUGGGUUAUUAACUCUGCCACUCAUUAGGUGUGUGACCUCAAGCAAGUUUCUUUACUUAUUAUGAGGAUUUUUUGUAUGUAAGUUAGGAAUGAUAAAUUUAACUCUUCUCACUUGUAAUUGAGAGUAUUAAGUGAAAUAUUUUAUGCUUGUAGCUACUUAGCACUCAGUAAAGUUCUUUAUUAUUGCUUUUAUUAUUAUUAAUAAUCAUGGUACUUCACGGUAAAUUCUCUACAUUGGAAUAUAUCUGCUUAUAUCUGCCAUUACUAGUGCAAAUUGAAAAGCAUUUUUACAUGUAAAAAGUAUUUAAAACUGUGUGCUAAGUAAAACACAUACUUUUAAUCACUCUAUUUUAGUACAAAAGCCAUUUUAAAUUUUAACGAACCAAGAAGUU